GCCCGGGUAGCUCAAUCGGUAGAGCGUGUGGCUCUUAUAAAGUGGAAUAUCCUCCUCAGGGGUGUUUCCAGUGUAGUGUAACCUCAAGGUCGUGGGUUCGAAACCCACCUCGGGCU
Rhexocercosporidium sp. MPI-PUGE-AT-0058 is the source of this 116-nucleotide non-coding RNA. The record is from the annotation of a GenBank genome assembly. Lineage: Eukaryota; Fungi; Ascomycota; Leotiomycetes; Helotiales.